RNAcentral lists this ribosomal RNA (505 nucleotides) under uncultured bacterium. RNAcentral's name for it is "partial 16S ribosomal RNA". It matches the Rfam family "Bacterial small subunit ribosomal RNA", at positions 28 to 507 of the family's 1533-position model. The record is from RNAcentral.
GACGAACGCUGGCGGCGUGCCUAAUACAUGCAAGUAGAACGCACAGUUUAUACCGUAGCUUGCUACACCAUAGACUGUGAGUUGCGAACGGGUGAGUAACGCGUAGGUAACCUGCCUGGUAGCGGGGGAUAACUAUUGGAAACGCUAGCUAAUACCGCAUAAUAUUAAUUAUUGCAUGAUAAUUAAUUGAAAGGUGCAAUUGCACCACUACCAGAUGGACCUGCGUUGUAUUAGCUAGUAGGUGAGGUAACGGCUCACCUAGGCGACGAUACAUAGCCGACCUGAGAGGGUGAUCGGCCACCCUGGGACGGAGACCCGGCCCAGACUCCUACGGGAGGCAGCAGUAGGGAAUCUUCGGCAAUGGACGAAAGUCUGACCGAGAAACGCCGCGUGAGUGAAGAAGGUUUUCGGAUCGUAAAGCUCGGUUGUAAGAGAAGAACGGGUGUGAGAGUGGAAAGUUCACACUGUGACGGUAUCUUACCAGAAAGGGACGGCUAACUACGUG